CCUACGGGAGGCAGCAGUGGGGAAUAUUGCACAAUGGGGGAAACCCUGAUCCAGCGACGCCGCGUGAGUGAAGAAGUAAUUCGUUAUGUAAAGCUCUAUCAGCAGGGAAGAAAAUGACGGUACCUGAGUAAGAAGCCCCGGCUAACUACGUGCCAGCAGCCGCGGUAAUACGUAGGGUGCAAGCGUUAUCCGGAUUUACUGGGUGUAAAGGGAGCGUAGACGGCAGUGCAAGUCUGGAGUGAAAGGCUGGGGCUCAACCCCCGGACUGCUGUGGAAACUGUACGGCUGGAGUGCAGGAGAGGUAAGUGGAAUUCCUAGUGUAGCGGUGAAAUGCGUAGAUAUUAGGAGGAACACCAGUGGCGAAGGCGGCUUACUGGACUGUAACUGACGUUGAGGCUCGAAAGCGUGGGGAGCAAACAGGAUUAGAUACCCUUGUAGUC
This 440-nucleotide ribosomal RNA is filed under the name uncultured bacterium. Its description in RNAcentral is "partial 16S ribosomal RNA". It matches the Rfam family "Bacterial small subunit ribosomal RNA", at positions 338 to 795 of the family's 1533-position model. The record is from RNAcentral.